ACCCGCUGAACUUAAGCAUAUCAAUAAGCGGAGGAAAAGAAACCAACAGGGAUUGCCCUAGUAACGGCGAGUGAAGCGGCAACAGCUCAAAUUUGAAAUCUGGCGUCUUUGGCGUCCGAGUUGUAAUUUGCAGAGGGCGCUUUGGCAUUGGCAGCGGUCCAAGUUCCUUGGAACAGGACGUCACAGAGGGUGAGAAUCCCGUACGUGGUCGCUAGCCUUUACCGUGUAAAGCCCCUUCGACGAGUCGAGUUGUUUGGGAAUGCAGCUCUAAAUGGGAGGUAAAUUUCUUCUAAAGCUAAAUACUGGCCAGAGACCGAUAGCGCACAAGUAGAGUGAUCGAAAGAUGAAAAGCACUUUGGAAAGAGAGUUAAAAAGCACGUGAAAUUGUUGAAAGGGAAGCGCUUGCAGCCAGACUUGCCUGUAGUUGCUCAUCCGGGUUUUUACCCGGUGCACUCUUCUAUAGGCAGGCCAGCAUCAGUUUGGGCGGUUGGAUAAAGGUCUCUGUCACGUACCUCCUCUCGGGGAGAACUUAUAGGGGAGACGUAAUGCAACCAACCUGGACUGAGGUCCGCGCAUCUGCUAGGAUGCUGGCGUAAUGGCUGUAAGCGGCCCGUCUUGAAACACGGACCAAGGAGUCUAACAUCUAUGCGAGUGUUUGGGUGUCAAGCCCGAGCGCGUAAUGAAAGUGAACGGAGGUGGGAACCUUUCGGGGUGCACCAUCGACCGAUCCUGAUGUCUUCGGAUGGAUUUGAGUAAGAGCAUAGCUGUUGGGACCCGAAAGAUGGUGAACUAUGCUUGAAUAGGGUGAAGCCAGAGGAAACUCUGGUGGAGGCUCGCAGCGGUUCUGACGUGCAAAUCGAUCGUCAAAUUUGGGCAUAGGGGCGAAAGACUAAUCGAACUAUCUAGUA
RNAcentral lists this ribosomal RNA (908 nucleotides) under Boeremia exigua var. exigua. RNAcentral describes it as "LSU rRNA". It matches the Rfam family "Eukaryotic large subunit ribosomal RNA", at positions 23 to 949 of the family's 3401-position model. Lineage: Eukaryota; Fungi; Ascomycota; Dothideomycetes; Pleosporales; Didymellaceae. The record is from RNAcentral.